UACGUAGGGGGCAAGCGUUGUCCGGAUUCAUUGGGCGUAAAGAGCGUGUAGGCGGCCAGGUAGGUCGGUUGUGAAAACUGGAGGCUCAACCUUCAGAGGUCGACCGAAACCAUCUGGCUAGAGUCCGGGAGAGGAAAGUGGAAUUCCUGGUGUAGCGGUGAAAUGCGCAGAUAUCAGGAAGAACACCCGUGGCGAAAGCGGCUCUCUGGAACGGUACUGACGCUGAGACGCGAAAGCGUGGGGAGCGAACAGG
This 253-nucleotide ribosomal RNA is filed under the name uncultured bacterium. Its description in RNAcentral is "partial 16S ribosomal RNA". It matches the Rfam family "Bacterial small subunit ribosomal RNA", at positions 524 to 776 of the family's 1533-position model. The record is from RNAcentral.